UGCUGGGUUGGAUGAGUGGCGAACGGGUGAGUAACACGUGAGUAACCUGCCCCUUUCUUUGGGAUAACGGUCGGAAACGGCUGCUAAUACCGGGUAUUCACUGUCCUUCGCAUGGGGGGUGGUGGAAAGGUUUUUUCUGGUGGGGGAUGGGCUCGCGGCCUAUCAGCUUGUUGGUGGGGUGAUGGCUUACCAAGGCUUUGACGGGUAACCGGCCUGAGAGGGUGACCGGUCACAUUGGGACUGAGAUACGGCCCAGACUCCUACGGGAGGCAGCAGUGGGGAAUAUUGCACAAUGGGCGAAAGCCUGAUGCAGCGACGCCGCGUGAGGGAUGACGGCCUUCGGGUUGUAAACCUCUUUCGCUCAUGGUCAAGCCGCAACAGUGGUUGUGGUGGGGGUAGUGGGUAAAGAAGCACCGGCUAACUACGUGCCAGCAGCCGCGGUAAUACGUAGGGUGCGAGCGUUGUCCGGAAUUAUUGGGCGUAAAGGGCUUGUAGGCGGUUUGUCGCGUCUGCCGUGAAAUCCUCUGGCUUAACUGGGGGCGUGCGGUGGGUACGGGCAGGCUUGAGUGCGGUAGGGGAGACUGGAA
This 587-nucleotide ribosomal RNA is filed under the name uncultured Actinomycetes bacterium. Its description in RNAcentral is "bacterial SSU rRNA". It matches the Rfam family "Bacterial small subunit ribosomal RNA", at positions 80 to 666 of the family's 1533-position model. Lineage: Bacteria; Bacillati; Actinomycetota; Actinomycetes. The record is from RNAcentral.